GAUGAACGCUGGCGGCGUGCCUAACACAUGCAAGUCGAACGGAGAUUACGGACGGAAGUUUUCGGAUGGAAGCCUGUAAUUCUUAGUGGCGGACGGGUGAGUAACGCGUGGGCGACCUGCCCUAUACAGGGGGAUAGCAGCUGGAAACGGCUGGUAAGACCGCAUAAGUCGGUUAAAUCGCAUGAUUUGAUCGGGAAAUGAGCAAUCAGGUAUAGGAUGGGCUCGCGUCCGAUUGGCCAGUUGGCAGGGUAAAAGCCUACCAAGGCGACGAUCGGUAGCCGGACUGAGAGGUCGAACGGCCACAUUGGGACUGAGACACGGCCCAAACUCCUACUGGAUGCAGCAGUGGGGGAUAUUGCACAAUGGAGGAAAAUCUGAUGCAGCGACGCCGCGUGAGUGAAGAAGUAUUUAGGAAUGUAAAACUCUAUCAGCAGGGAAGAUAAUGACGGUACCUGACUAAGAAGCCCCGGCUAACUACGUG
This 481-nucleotide ribosomal RNA is filed under the name uncultured bacterium. RNAcentral describes it as "partial 16S ribosomal RNA". It matches the Rfam family "Bacterial small subunit ribosomal RNA", at positions 28 to 507 of the family's 1533-position model. The record is from RNAcentral.